RNAcentral lists this ribosomal RNA (679 nucleotides) under Streptomyces albidoflavus. RNAcentral's name for it is "bacterial SSU rRNA". It matches the Rfam family "Bacterial small subunit ribosomal RNA", at positions 195 to 887 of the family's 1533-position model. The record is from RNAcentral. Lineage: Bacteria; Bacillati; Actinomycetota; Actinomycetes; Kitasatosporales; Streptomycetaceae.
AUGGGUGUAAAGCUCCGGCGGUGCAGGAUGAGCCCGCGGCCUAUCAGCUUGUUGGUGAGGUAGUGGGCUCACCAAGGCGACGACGGGUAGCCGGCCUGAGAGGGCGACCGGCCACACUGGGACUGAGACACGGCCCAGACUCCUACGGGAGGCAGCAGUGGGGAAUAUUGCACAAUGGGCGAAAGCCUGAUGCAGCGACGCCGCGUGAGGGAUGACGGCCUUCGGGUUGUAAACCUCUUUCAGCAGGGAAGAAGCGAAAGUGACGGUACCUGCAGAAGAAGCGCCGGCUAACUACGUGCCAGCAGCCGCGGUAAUACGUAGGGCGCAAGCGUUGUCCGGAAUUAUUGGGCGUAAAGAGCUCGUAGGCGGCUUGUCACGUCGGUUGUGAAAGCCCGGGGCUUAACCCCGGGUCUGCAGUCGAUACGGGCAGGCUAGAGUUCGGUAGGGGAGAUCGGAAUUCCUGGUGUAGCGGUGAAAUGCGCAGAUAUCAGGAGGAACACCGGUGGCGAAGGCGGAUCUCUGGGCCGAUACUGACGCUGAGGAGCGAAAGCGUGGGGAGCGAACAGGAUUAGAUACCCUGGUAGUCCACCCCGUAAUCGGUAAGCACUAGGUGUGGGCAACAUUCCACGUUGUCCGUGCCGCAGCUAACGCAGUAAGGCCCCGCCCUGGGAUUUCGCCU